CGCGCGAUACAGGGUGACAGCCCCGUACACAAAAAUGCACAUGCUGUGAGCUCGAUGAGUAGGGCGGGACACGUGGUAUCCUGUCUGAAUAUGGGGGGACCAUCCUCCAAGGCUAAAUACUCCUGACUGACCGAUAGUGAACCAGUACCGUGAGGGAAAGGCGAAAAGAACCCCGGCGAGGGGAGUGAAAAAGAACCUGAAACCGUGUACGUACAAGCAGUGGGAGCACGCUUAGGCGUGUGACUGCGUACCUUUUGUAUAAUGGGUCAGCGACUUAUAUUCUGUAGCAAGGUUAACCGAAUAGGGGAGCCGAAGGGAAACCGAGUCUUAACUGGGCGUUAAGUUGCAGGGUAUAGACCCGAAACCCGGUGAUCUAGCCAUGGGCAGGUUGAAGGUUGGGUAACACUAACUGGAGGACCGAACCGACUAAUGUUGAAAAAUUAGCGGAUGACUUGUGGCUGGGGGUGAAAGGCCAAUCAAACCGGGAGAUAGCUGGUUCUCCCCGAAAGCUAUUUAGGUAGCGCCUCGUGAAUUCAUCUCCGGGGGUAGAGCACUGUUUCGGCAAGGGGGUCAUCCCGACUUACCAACCCGAUGCAAACUGCGAAUACCGGAGAAUGUUAUCACGGGAGACACACGGCGGGUGCUAACGUCCGUCGUGAAGAGGGAAACAACCCAGACCGCCAGCUAAGGUCCCAAAGUCAUGGUUAAGUGGGAAACGAUGUGGGAAGGCCCAGACAGCCAGGAUGUUGGCUUAGAAGCAGCCAUCAUUUAAAGAAAGCGUAAUAGCUCACUGGUCGAGUCGGCCUGCGCGGAAGAUGUAACGGGGCUAAACCAUG
This 836-nucleotide ribosomal RNA is filed under the name Escherichia coli. Its description in RNAcentral is "partial 23S ribosomal RNA". It matches the Rfam family "Bacterial large subunit ribosomal RNA", at positions 351 to 1191 of the family's 2925-position model. The record is from RNAcentral. Lineage: Bacteria; Pseudomonadati; Pseudomonadota; Gammaproteobacteria; Enterobacterales; Enterobacteriaceae.